UCAAGUUUGAAAGAACCUCUGGCCACAUUGGGGAUGAAAUCUCCCAAGUAGUAAUAACACUACCCGCAGUCGAGAAUAUUAGUCAAUGCUCGUAAGAGUGAACUAGCUAACUGAAAUCAUAGAAUUUUUUCAAAUUCAUGAUGUCGUAAGGGAAAAUAAUGAUAAUACCUUACUAUGAGUGUCGUCCAAAUCUGGUGCCAGAAGACUCGGUAAGACCAGAGACGCAAACGUUAAUCAUCAUAAACAGGCGUAAAGGGUUUGUAGGCAGCUUUUAUAAAAAUAUGAAAAAAUCAAAAACUAAAUUAAAAGCUAGAAUCAAAAAGAGGUUAUAGUGUAUAACGCCUAGAGGAGGGCUGAUAUCCAUAGAUCCUAGGCAGAAUACUCAGGGCGAAGGCCACUCUCCACUAAUGAUUGACGCUGAGAAACGAAGGUUAGGGUAGGAAAUAGGAUUAGAUACCCCGGUACUCCUUUCUGUAAACGAUGAAUGGUAGUCAUUAGUUAAAUUAAAAUAACUAGAGGCGAAGUUAACACAAUAACCAUUCCGCCUUGUGAGUACUACUGCAAAGUAGAAAACAAAAAAAUUAGUCGGUCUCGAAGCAAACGGAUUGAAGCCUGUUAUUUAAUACGAUAAUCCGCGUAAAACCUUUCCCGAACUUGCAUACAAACUAUAAAUUUUCUUUCCUGAAAAGGUAGAGGGAGUAUUAGGA
RNAcentral lists this ribosomal RNA (707 nucleotides) under Phylloporia weberiana. RNAcentral's name for it is "partial small subunit ribosomal RNA". It matches the Rfam family "Bacterial small subunit ribosomal RNA", at positions 287 to 1048 of the family's 1533-position model. The record is from RNAcentral. Lineage: Eukaryota; Fungi; Basidiomycota; Agaricomycetes; Hymenochaetales; Hymenochaetaceae.